RNAcentral lists this ribosomal RNA (253 nucleotides) under uncultured bacterium. Its description in RNAcentral is "partial 16S ribosomal RNA". It matches the Rfam family "Bacterial small subunit ribosomal RNA", at positions 524 to 776 of the family's 1533-position model. The record is from RNAcentral.
GACGAACCACACGAACGUUAUUCGGAAUUACUGGGCUUAAAGGGUGCGUAGGCGGCGCGGUAAGUAGGGUGUGAAAUCCCUCGGCUCAACCGAGGAACUGCGCUCUAAACUACCGUGCUUGAGGGAGGUAGAGGUGAGCGGAACUUAGGGUGGAGCGGUGAAAUGCGUUGAUAUCCUAAGGAACACCGGUGGCGAAAGCGGCUCACUGGAUCUCUUCUGACGCUGAGGCACGAAAGCUAGGGUAGCGAACGGG